RNAcentral lists this ribosomal RNA (256 nucleotides) under uncultured bacterium. Its description in RNAcentral is "partial 16S ribosomal RNA". It matches the Rfam family "Bacterial small subunit ribosomal RNA", at positions 524 to 776 of the family's 1533-position model. The record is from RNAcentral.
UACGGAGGGUGCAAGCGUUGUCCGGAUUUAUUGGGUUUAAAGGGUGCGUAGGCGGCCUUGUAAGUCAGUGGUGAAAGCCUCCAGCUCAACGUGGAGAACUGCCAUUGAUACUGCAAGGCUUGAGUACAGACGAGGUUGGCGGAAUUGAUUGUGUAGACGGUGAAAUGCAUAGAUACAAUCAAGAACUCCGAUUGCGAUAGGCAGCUAACUAGGCUGUAACUGACGCUGAGGCACGAAAGCGUGGGGAGCGAACAGG